Suricata suricatta (meerkat) is the source of this 454-nucleotide long non-coding RNA. RefSeq lists it as uncharacterized. NCBI's taxonomy places the organism in Eukaryota, Metazoa, Chordata, Mammalia, Carnivora, Herpestidae. The transcript is spliced from 2 exons. The record is from RefSeq and is a predicted model, not a curated record.
CAUUCACAUGUUGAAGCCCUUACCCCCCAGGACUACAGAACGUGACCUUAUUUGGUGAUGGGGUCUUCAUGGAAACAAUCAGGUUAACAUGAAGUCAUUGGGGAAUGUUCACAGCUCUGUCCUCAGCGUCACUGGUGACAAUAUCAAACAGCACUAGAUGUUCCAAAUGUGUUUGUUUUUCUUACCCAAGAGGGCUACCUUACGCUUCCCACAGCAGUUCACCUAGUGGCUUACCAAACCGCAGCUUUGUCCAAUAACAUCACCUGGCAAAUGACGUCAUAGAUGCUGAAGCUAAUAACCUUGAGGACAAACCAAGAUUUCUGGCUGCUCCUGCUGGCUUGAAGUAUCUGGAGCCCUUGUUCAUGUUUCCUUAAAUUUGUUCCACACUUACUUUUAUUAAAAACAUUGUAUUGAUUGGCAAAUUAAUGAGGUUUAAUAAAAUACUAUCUGGAAA